RNAcentral lists this long non-coding RNA (1018 nucleotides) under Volvox carteri. RNAcentral's name for it is "long non-coding RNA (VCAR_LNC000470)". Lineage: Eukaryota; Viridiplantae; Chlorophyta; Chlorophyceae; Chlamydomonadales; Volvocaceae. The record is from RNAcentral.
CGGGAGUGUGGUCGCAGACGCAAUGGCCUUCCCCACAAUAAGUUAGUAGUGAGUACGGAUCACGCGAUGACGUUUAAGCAAAGCGCCGUAAUGCAACACCGUACCGCAAGGUAUUUUACCGUGCACAUCGGGUGCUGUAAAUACGACUCCGACCACAAGACACAUGUUACAUUCCUUUUUGCUCCUUCUUGCUGACGCAGAUGCACCUAAUUUCCUGACUUAGGACAUAAAAAUCUUCUGGAAAAUAACCAAAGGCAAGCACCGGUUUGUUGCAGUUUCACAAGAUGUACUUCCGUUUCUUCUGUCACCGCUUCUCCUCCUAAGUUUUCUGUCAUCUUCUCAUCUUCUCAUCUACAGAGCUACUACUCUCCACCAUCUUACGCUAACAAAAUGGAUUCCCGACGACGGGAGGCCUCCAGCCGCCUGCUUCCAGGUCCACGGGCUCAGUUGGGGCAGGAAGGAUGCGUCUUGGGAAGGACCCGGCAUAACGACCGCCCCCCGACCGCACUAAUCAUCGGCCACUAUAUGUUCCAGUAAAUUGUAACUCCAAAAGGCUAAUUCGAAAAAUUCCCGCCCUCAGCCAGAACAAAACACCAAAUUGGAAGGCAGCCGAAUUUUCGCCAUUCUUUGAGCAACCAUCGAAUCACCAAACCGUUCAAUUGUCGACAAAAGAUACAGAAAAACAUUCCCGCCGUCGACCUUUGACCAACAAAUUUCUCAACAUGUAUCGCCAGCAUACCGCCAUCGAGCAGCAAAUCGUAAAAAAGCGAGGAUUUCGUGAAAUGGCCAGCAAAUCGCAAAAAGACGACUCCCGCCAUCGUCGCCCUCAUCGUUCUUGGAAAGAUUACACAACCAUCACCCCGAUGUGCAGCCCGCCUCUUGUAUGAGCCAGGCUGCCAAAACGACAACCUCCAAUUCCGACUUUUGAGUCUUCUGUUACCGGUGGCACAAUCAGCAACCACCAACGGGCGGAAAUCGCCACGGACAGGAAAUCUCCCAUUUUCCCCUUGCCUCUCUU